UGGUUCUCGCAUCGAUGAGGAACGCAGCGAAAUGAGAUACGUAGUCUGAAUUGCACAAUUCAGUGAAACAUCGAAUCCUUGAACGCACUUUGCGCCCUUUGGUACUCCAAAGGGCACGCCUGUUCGCGCGUCAUUUGUAACCUCAAGCCUUGCUUGGUGAUGGGCGUCUUGUCUCACACGAGACUCGGCUUAAAAUCUAUUGGCAGCCGAACUACUGGUUCCGGAGCGCAGAACAAUUCUUGCACUUAGAAUCAGCCUUUGUUGAGCAACCAUCAAGACCCCAAAUUUUAACCUUUGACCUCCGAUCAGGUAGG
RNAcentral lists this ribosomal RNA (314 nucleotides) under Reticularia lycoperdon. RNAcentral's name for it is "eukaryotic LSU rRNA". The stretch from base 1 to 133 matches the Rfam family "5.8S ribosomal RNA", at positions 22 to 154 of the family's 154-position model. The record is from RNAcentral. Lineage: Eukaryota; Evosea; Eumycetozoa; Liceales; Reticulariaceae.